CCUACGGGUGGCAGCAGUCGAGAAUCAUUCACAAUGGGGGAAACCCUGAUGGUGCGACGCCGCGUGGGGGAAUGAAGGCCUUCGGAUUGUAAACCCCUGUCAUGUGGGAGCAAAUUAAAAAGAUAGUACCACAAGAGGAAGAGACGGCUAACUCUGUGCCAGCAGCCGCGGUAAUACAGGGGUCUCAAGCGUUGUUCGGAAUCACUGGGCGUAAAGGGUGCGUAGGCUGUUUCGUAAGUCGUGUGUGAAAGGCGCGGGCUCAACCCGCGGACGGCACAUGAUACUGCGAGACUAGAGUAAUGGAGGGGGAAGCGGAAUGCGCGGUGUAGCAGUGAAAUGCGUAGAUAUCGAGAAGAACACUGGUGGCGAAGGCGGGUUCCUGGACAUUAACUGACGCUGAGGCACGAAGGCGAGGGGAGCGAAAGGGAUUAGAUACCCUUGUAGUC
This 446-nucleotide ribosomal RNA is filed under the name uncultured bacterium. RNAcentral describes it as "partial 16S ribosomal RNA". It matches the Rfam family "Bacterial small subunit ribosomal RNA", at positions 338 to 795 of the family's 1533-position model. The record is from RNAcentral.